Molecule: ribosomal RNA, 267 nt
Filed under: uncultured bacterium
Lineage: Bacteria
Description: partial 16S ribosomal RNA
Rfam family: Bacterial small subunit ribosomal RNA
Source: RNAcentral
GUCCUAGCUGUAAACGAUGAUAACUAGGUGUGGGAGGUAUCGACCCCUUCCGCGCCGUCGCUAACGCAUUAAGUUAUCCGCCUGGGGAGUACGGCCGCAAGGUUAAAACUCAAAGGAAUUGACGGGGGCCCGCACAAGCGGUGGAGCAUGUGGUUCAAUUAGACGCUACGCGAAGAACCUUACCUGGGCUCGAACGACUGGUGGUAGUCCUUUCGAAAGAUUGGGCGACCCGCAAGGGAGCCAGCCGAGGUGCUGCAUGGCUGUCGU